RNAcentral lists this unclassified non-coding RNA (340 nucleotides) under soil metagenome. Its description in RNAcentral is "partial contains 5.8S ribosomal RNA, internal transcribed spacer 2, and large subunit ribosomal RNA". The stretch from base 1 to 120 matches the Rfam family "5.8S ribosomal RNA", at positions 35 to 154 of the family's 154-position model. The record is from RNAcentral.
GAUGAAGAACGUAGCGAAAUGCGAUACGUAAUGUGAAUUGCAGAGUUCAGUGAAUCAUCGAAUCUUUGAACGCACAUUGCGCCCGUCAGUAUUCUGACGGGCAUGCCUGUCCGAGCGUCAUUUCAACCCUCAAGCGCAGCUUGGUGUUGGUGGAUUGCGUGCCCUCGCGGCGCUGCAACCGCCCAAAUACAGUGGCGGUCCCGCUGCGGCUCCCUUUGCGUAGUAACUCACCUUGCACUGGACCGGGCGGCGGCCUGCCGUAAAACCCCAACUCACGAAAUGUUGACCUCGGAUCAGGUAGGAAUACCCGCUGAACUUAAGCAUAUCAAUAAGCGGAGGA